CAAACGGCCCUUUUCAGGGCCAACAAAAGUUUUCAACGAUGGAAUU
Molecule: non-coding RNA, 46 nt
Organism: Melipona quadrifasciata
Lineage: Eukaryota; Metazoa; Arthropoda; Insecta; Hymenoptera; Apidae
Source: Rfam